UGCGUAGGAUGCAAGCGUUGUCCGGAAUUAUUGGGCGUAAAGAGCGCGCCGGCGGUAACUCAAGUCAGAUGUGAAAUAUCCGGGCUUAACCCGGAGGGGUCAUUUGAAACUGAGUAACUAGAGUACAGCAGAGGAUAGCGGAAUUCCCGGUGUAGUGGUGAAAUGCGUAGAUAGCGGGAGGAACACCAGUGGCGAAGGCGGCUAUCUGGGCUGAAACUGACGCUGAGGCGCGAAGGCUAGGGGAGCAAACAGG
RNAcentral lists this ribosomal RNA (253 nucleotides) under uncultured bacterium. RNAcentral's name for it is "partial 16S ribosomal RNA". It matches the Rfam family "Bacterial small subunit ribosomal RNA", at positions 524 to 776 of the family's 1533-position model. The record is from RNAcentral.